This 301-nucleotide ribosomal RNA is filed under the name uncultured bacterium. Its description in RNAcentral is "partial 16S ribosomal RNA". It matches the Rfam family "Bacterial small subunit ribosomal RNA", at positions 509 to 807 of the family's 1533-position model. The record is from RNAcentral.
CAGUCGCCGCGGUAAUACGUAGGUGGCAAGCGUUGUCCGGAAUUAUUGGGCGUAAAGGGCUCGCAGGCGGUUUCUUAAGUCUGAUGUGAAAGCCCCCGGCUCAACCGGGGAGGGUCAUUGGAAACUGGGAAACUUGAGUGCAGAAGAGGAAAGUGGAAUUCCACGUGUAGCGGUGAAAUGCGUAGAGAUGUGGAGGAACAUCAGUGGCGAAGGCGACUCUCUGGUCUGUAACUGACGCUGAGGAGCGAAAGCGUGGGGAGCGAACAGGAUUAGAUACCCCUGUAGUCCCUGUCUCUUAUAC